This 834-nucleotide ribosomal RNA is filed under the name uncultured bacterium. Its description in RNAcentral is "bacterial SSU rRNA". It matches the Rfam family "Bacterial small subunit ribosomal RNA", at positions 28 to 872 of the family's 1533-position model. The record is from RNAcentral.
GAUGAACGCUAGCGGCAGGGCCUAAUACAUGCAAGUCGAACGGUGGUCGCAAGACCAUAGUGGCGCACGGGUGCGUAACGCGUAACCAACCUACCUGGAUCUGGGGGAUAGCCCGCCGAAAGGCGGAUUAAUACCGCAUAAGCUAAAUGACUGGCAUCGGUUGUUUCGUAAAGAUUUAUUGGAUUCAGAUGGGGUUGCGUAGCAUUAGCUAGAUGGCGGGGUAACGGCCCACCAUGGCGACGAUGCUUAGGGGACCUGAGAGGGUGAUCCCCCACACUGGCACUGAGAUACGGGCCAGACUCCUACGGGAGGCAGCAGUAGGGAAUAUUGGGCAAUGGGCGAGAGCCUGACCCAGCCAUGCCGCGUGCCGGAUGAAGGCCUUCUGGGUUGUAAACGGCUUUUCUCAGGGAAGAAAAAGAGGAUGCGUCCUAAACUGACGGUACCUGAGGAAUAAGCACCGGCUAACUCCGUGCCAGCAGCCGCGGUAAUACGGAGGGUGCAAGCGUUGUCCGGAUUUAUUGGGUUUAAAGGGUGCGUAGGUGGCCCGUUAAGUCCGGGGUGAAAGCCCACAGCUCAACUGUGGAACUGCCCUGGAUACUGGCGGGCUUGAGAGUAGUCGAGGGUGGCGGAAUGGACGGUGUAGCGGUGAAAUGCAUAGAUACCGUCCAGAACCCCAAUUGCGUAGGCAGCUGCCUAGGCUACAUCUGACACUGAGGCACGAAAGCGUGGGGGGCGAACAGGAUUAGAUACCCUGGUAGUCCACGCCGUAAACGAUGGAUACUCGUUGCCAGCGAUAGACUGUUGGUGACUUAGCGAAAGCGUUAAGUAUCCCAC